Molecule: long non-coding RNA, 2602 nt
Organism: Contarinia nasturtii (swede midge)
Lineage: Eukaryota; Metazoa; Arthropoda; Insecta; Diptera; Cecidomyiidae
Exons: 3
Source: RefSeq, a predicted model, not a curated record
UUUUUGUUUAAUGGUGCUACUACAGACAUAAAAACGGUUCAAAAUCAACAAUCAAUAAUUGAUUAUUCAAACAUAGCAAUUGUUAUCCGUCUUCUUGCAAUUAAAAGAACAAAAAUCAAGUCUAGGGGUUUUGGUUCGUUCAAACUUGCAGUUCUUGAUCAUAAUAAACUAUCUACAUACAAAAUUUAUUCAUCGUUUAAGCUAUUCGGAGCAGUUAAAGAUAUCCAUUUUUUUGUAGAAAAGGACAAACGUUAUGCUUAUUGCUGGGUCUAUGUUGAAUUUUAUGAAUCUCAAAGUGUUGAUGCAGCAUUGUUAAAACAACAAAUAAAAAUUGGAGACGAUAUAUUCAAAAUAAAACGAACUAAAUGUAAAUUUUAGAAUUUUGGUAGAGUGAACGAGAAAAUCAAUAUUUAUGAAAUAUUAUUGCAAGCACCAGAUGAAAAUUCACCAAAAAAAAUUCUCAACAUUCUGAAUGAUGAUUGCUUAAGGAAAAUAUUCGAGCAAUUACCUUUUCAAGACCAAUGUUCAGUGUUAAGCGUUUGUGUUCGUUUCUAUAAGAUUUCUAAGGAAUGUUUGGCAAAAAAACAAAAGAAUUGUGCAUACAAAAGCAACAUGGAUAUUUUAGUGGAGACUUUGCUAUCAUUACCAUUACAACAAGCAAAUGAUUAUUUACGUGAUUUUGGUCCAACCAUUUAUGAAAUAGAUGUCAAAAAAAUGACGUAUCUAAAGUGGGAAGAAAAAAAGCAAAUCUUUUUGGGAAUGAUUAGCAAACAUUGCAAGAAUAUUCGUAAAGUCGAUUUAUCUUACGAUCAAUCUUAUUUAAUAGAUAUACAUAGGUUUAGCGAAUUGAUUCCAUUAUUUACGCGUUUGGAGACGUUACAUGUGGAGCUUUCAUACAGGCUAGCACACAGUUGUCUUGAUUCUUUAUUACCCAUUUGCUCUCAACUAAGUGCACUGAGUCUAGAUGAUUUUUGGUGUAAAUAUCCUCUACCACCAAUUAAUUUACAGAAAUUAGUGGCAUUUAGAAUUGAUUUUUCUCCACCGACAAAAGAUUCGUACAUAUCUUCUUUGAUUUUUUUUUAUCCCUUAAUACUCAACUUGAAGUUUUCUCAUAUACCAGCGAUUGUUGGAUUUUCUAUGAUUACGAGUCUGGGAAACAUGAUUCAGUGAUUGGUCAACUAAAACGUUUGAAAAUUUUAGAAAUUCGACACUAUGCAAAUAAAAAAUGUAUGAUUAUACAUUUGAUACGAGAAUUGUUGUCAAACAAUGUGCCAAUAGAACAUUUAAAAUUAGAUUACUAUAUGAAGAUUGAUAAUGAAGCUGUUGAGUAUAUUUCCCAAAUGAAAACUAUUAAAAAGUUAGAAUUUAAUACAGUAUGGUAUAUGUCAGAGUUCAUAGCGGCAUCAUUUUUGGCGGCGUAUGCACGCUUAGAUCAAGCUCUUGUGGAGAUCUUACGGAUCUAUCCUAUCCAAAAAAAAACAAUGUAUGAAUAUAUUAUAAUGGCAAAUGCCAUUUGAUUUGCGAUGAACAGUAUACGUCACGGACGAAACAAUUUACUGUGUUGUUGUUUGAUGAAAUGUAAAUUGUUGUGUCAACAAAUCUCCAUGAGUUUCAUAUUGGCCCAUACAGAAUGCAUCAUUUCCCAUACAAAAUACUUUGGGGUCCAAAAGACCCCGUUGUGCUUUUACGUUAGUAUUUUGUAUAAGACUUCCCAAAACUUCAUCUAUGCACCAAACAUUUAAAUUUUCGAUUGUAUCUCAUAGAUAUGAUAUUGAAAAUGUGAUUUUCUUCAAAAAAUUAACUCUUAGGGCCUAAGAGACCCCACAUGUGCGUUUGAAGGUUAAAGGAAUUUCGGUUCACUCCGCUCGCCAAAUUAUAUCUAUUUCUUCAGUUUAUUUAACGUAUCAAUACGAUUAUGUUAGAUUAAAGAUUUAGACACCACCACACACUCUAUAUUACUUGAGAAACGCAAACUCAAUUGAUUAUUUGAAAAAUCCACAUCGAUAUCACUGUUCGAAAUAAAUAUUGAUAUUUAAGAGUUAUUAAAUGUAUCCAGUUUUUUUUAUUUGUAAACGUUUGGAAUAACCUUCUCAAUAUGGAAUUGGAGGAAAAAUGUCAUCUCCAAUUCGACCAUGGUCCAACUGUUAACAUUUUAAUGAGAAAUGAAAUGAUAGACCAAGAGCCACCGUGCAAAUUACUUUUUUUUCUGUGUACGGCAGAUUUUCAUGAAAUUAUCAUCUUCACACUGUGUACUAUCCGAAUAAUAUCACUUUUUUCAUUGUAAUUGGGCGGAUCGCGAGAUCCGCGGUUUUAUUCGCGCUACACGAAAUAGUAUACUUUUUUCGCACCAAUACGGCAGAUUUUUGUGUUAAAUUCUUCGUUUUGAUCCAACUAUAUUGAAAAGUAAAAAAUCUGCCCAAAUGAGUGGGCAAAUUGUUCAAAAAACAACAAAAUAAACAAUAAUAUGACACUACCAUUACUCAACGAAACACAAAUGUCAGUUGAUACAAUGGGUGCGUUCAAUACCUUGUGUCAAAUUCAUCAAUAUUAUUGUUUAUUUUGUUGGUUUUUGAACAAUUUGCCCACUCAUUUGGGCAGAUUU